ACACAAAUACAUUGGUCAGUUUGUUCAGUGGCAGAGUUUUAUUUUGCCUCUGACUUUUUCUGUGAGGAAGAAAUGAUGAAAUGGUAUUCCAUCUGGUCUUUGCUUCAGUCACAUUACAUUUACCAAUUUCUGCAGCAAGUGGAGGAUCCAGGCCACAGUAAUCUUUAUUACACAAUCUUUCAGAUCCAGAAGCAUCCCAUCUCAGGUACUGACACAGAGUAAGAUGCAUAGGAUCCAUCAAUGCUAAGCUGUAAUAAAACCUACCAAAAGUUCUGACAAACAACACAAGCAGAAAGACUUUGCAUGUUUCUUCCCAGCUUACAGAGUGAUUUUGAACCUAUCAUUUCAGCUGUCCAGAUUGCCCUACUCAAUGUCUUCGUGUUUUACAGUCAAGCUGACACUAUGAAAAGGAUUUAACUUGCCUGAAGAAGUCUCGCCUCUGGCAUUAGUGACAUCUGUCCUUCAGGUUUUUGCUCUCUCUCUGCAGUGUGACUUUUUUGUGGUUCCCUAUUUUGAUGUCAGAUUGGGAUGUUCAUGUACCCCUACACUUACUUCAUGGGAAUCUUCAUUGAGAGAGAUUGAAAGGCAGCCAGGGAUGCGAGAUGAAAAAGAGGCAAGCCAGACCAUGCCUAUAAGUGAACCAUGAUAAUAAUUGGACAUGAUCCAGUGUUAAAUCUAGCUAUUCAUUUGGUGCUUUUUUAAAAAUGUCUCCUCAUGUCAGUGCUUAAUGUACCCUAGUUCUGCAUCUUUGCACAAUGACAGCUGAAUGGGAGGAUCACAGAGCUCUCCAGCUUUUCUGCUAAGAUGCAGAAAAAUGUAAAAUAAACUCAAUAUAAAUACUGUUUAUAAGAGCAGGGCAAUCUUUCUUUCACUUUACAAGCUGUACAGGCCAGAAGGGGUCAAGAAGCAAAACAAUAAAGAUUUAUUCUUGUAAAUUUCAAUUUAGUAGCAAAGUUACUGAUAACAGAUCCACAAAAGUUGCAUGUGUGCGAAUGAGAUUCUUAAAAAAAUGCACCAGUAAGUACUAGUGAUAUCAUUUCAAUAUACUUUUCCCAGUUCUUUUCAGCUGCUUGUUGGAGGCUGGAUUUAUCAACAAAGUAAAAGCAAGAUAGAAAAACAAGGUUUAAAGAUAACCUAUGGUUAACUUUACAUGUACUGGAAUUGCUGUAAAUAGUUUGUUCAAAGCUGUUUUGAUUGCACUCUCAAUAUAAAUUCUCAAAAGUCAAUGCAAGAAUUUUACAGUUUUGUACCAGUAAGAGCACAGUACUUUGGGUAAAAUACUGCAAAAUUGCAAUGGUUGGAAUGAUUUUUUACAACCCAAAUUUUAUUUCCAAAGUUCUGGUCAAAAGGGACAUAUUAAAGUUGUUUUCCCAUUUUAGAGCAUGCCUCCAAAGGUUUGGGCUUUACUAAAAACUGUAAAUAAUCACUCAGAUGUGCUUAAGUAUAGCCACAUCAAAAAACCUUGGUGAAAGACUAAUGUCUGAACUUAACAGCUAAAAAUACAGAGUACUGUAAAACAAAAAUAAAUGUUAAAAUGAAUACCACCUAAAGAAAAGAGAAAAGCCUGCCAUAACAAAAACAAUUUGACUACAUGCUACACAAAAUUUGCUGAGGCUUUCUGAAAUCUCAUACCCUUUGUUAGAUAGAAUUUGUCCUUCUUAAGCUCUGUGCUGAUGUCAGGACCUGAGUUGAUAUUUUAAAGGUGUUGUUUAAAGACUUCAGAGAAAUACAAAGAAAAUGUAAAACUGGUCCUCCUACAGAUGCAGUAACAAGUGGCGCAGAAAACGAAAAAUUCUUGCUGUGGAAGUAAGCAUGAAGAGAGAAUUCUACACAUUCACAAUUGUUACGCUUUUGGAGGUAUCCAGUGCUCAGGUGUUCUUGCAACAUCUACCCUAAUUGUAUUACGCAUAGUUUCAUUUCUUUAGUCCAGACCAAUUCAGUCAUUCAUGUCGCCCAUUAUAACAUCUUUAUCUCUCAGUUCUAGUAAAUGCUGCUUUGUUCAAAUUUAAGGGAUGCUUUGAUCCUAAAAAUUCUGCAUAAUUCUACUUUUCCCCAUGUAAGGACACUCCUCUUUUUGUCAUGAAAUCUACCCUUGUUUCUAAGGUGGAGAACACCUCAAAGAUAUUCCUAUGUAUUUUCCACAUCAACAAGGCUGGAACAGUUCCCUGGGUGUUUUAUUGAGCAUGGGUUGCCAAGCCAUGGCCAUUUCACAUUCAGUUCCCAUGUUAACUCAGUCAUUAAUUCAUUCUACUAUGUCUGAAGGAAACAGUGUUGGUCUCAUGUCUUUUAACUUAUACUGAAAACUCCACAGAACUGUUACAAUGCUACUUCCUUGCUGGCUGCAUCCAAUUUCUGAACUCCCCCUUUGCCAUUGCUUGACAGCUUUACCCACAUCAUCAAAAAGUGAUGUGGGUUAAAAACUCCCUCAGCUUUUAUAUUUUCUGCACUGGUGCAGUAUAAAUAAGAAGUAAGGCCAUUGUUAAUGUAAUCUUAGCAAUUAUUUGGCACAAACCUGCAGAGAUUAAUGAAAUUAAUACAAAAAUAGGAAAGAAUACAAAUUUCUAGCCAGAUAUGUGACACCAUUGGAUUAGGCUUACAUCAUUUUUCAUUUUCCAGAGAAAUGUAGAGGAAAACACUGUUACUGUAGAAUGUCUGAAGACAUACACAGUACAUGUACACAUACAUAUGAAAGACCAGCUUUGCCUUGCAAAGCAAUCAGUCUCUUGCAGGAUAAAGCUGGCUUUCAAAAUUCCAGCCAGGGAGUUAAGGAAACUCAGUGUAAAUAUAAAUCCCCAGCAGCUAUUUUUGGGUAUAUACACAUAGCACAUUCAUGUCAGCUAGUGCUGGCAGAUACAAAACACACCAGUGUAACUGCUAGGUGGUCUGAACUCUGAAUGAUGGCUCUAAAGUUUUUUGUUGUUGUUGUUGUUGUUUUUCUGAGACACUGGUCAGAGAAAGACAAUUACCUGCUGAUCUCGACAUAAAAAUCUAGGGAUUUCCUUGCUGAACUUAUCUGAAUACAACUAGGAUUCAGAAACUGAUAAAAAGAAUGAAAACUGUUCUCCCCCAUUCUCCCUUAACACGCUCUUUCUCAAGCCAUUAUGUUAUCCUUAUCCUUUGUGGAGGGGAAGUCAACUUUUUUGUGGCAUAAACGUAAUGUUGGAGAUUUGCUGCAGAGGACUAUCUAGAAACAUGGCUAAAGUUCGGAUUGCAGUUCAGUAACUAUUAGCUUGCAAACUCUUGGUAAUUUUUGUUUCCUAUUUGAAUGGA
Long non-coding RNA from Cygnus atratus (black swan), 3270 nucleotides. RefSeq lists it as uncharacterized. The transcript is spliced from 5 exons. The record is from RefSeq and is a predicted model, not a curated record. NCBI's taxonomy places the organism in Eukaryota, Metazoa, Chordata, Aves, Anseriformes, Anatidae.